RNAcentral lists this long non-coding RNA (2706 nucleotides) under Nicotiana benthamiana. RNAcentral's name for it is "long non-coding RNA (NBEN_LNC041353)". Lineage: Eukaryota; Viridiplantae; Streptophyta; Magnoliopsida; Solanales; Solanaceae. The record is from RNAcentral.
UGCAGUAAAGAAAAGUAGCAGGACUUCGAAAUAUAGCCUUGGCUUUCAACCUGCUAAAUAGGCAGUAGCACAAGUAGUAGUAAAGAAAGAGAAAGUAUUGAGUGUAAGUGUGAGUUCAGAGCUAAAAUUGUUCAUUGUUUGAAAGAAGAGGAGUACAAGGUAUUUCUAGCUUUUGAAAACGAGUAAAAUUGAGGUAAUAAGCCACAAACAUGGAAACAAUCACCAAUAAGAAUCAAUCACACACAUGAUUCCCUUUAAUUAAGGGUCAAUUCCUCAACGAGCAUGACAAAUUCAAAAAUAAGGAAAGAAAUCAGUUUUUAGGCUCUUAUGCGUUGGGUCGGUACAACCUUUUGUACGGGUUGACGAUAGUGGCUCUUACCCAUUGGGUCAGUACUGUCACACUUCCUUUUUACCUACCCGAGGGGAAUAAGAGGAGUUUUUCCAAUUUAAGUGACAUUAUUCGAAAUAGGAUUAUUUUUUCAAUUUUAUUCUGAGUCGCCAUUCGGGGUGGAAUAUUUCUUGUGUCCCAAGUCACUGUUUUAUUUUAGAUCCCAAAUUGAGGAAAGUUCGACUUUCCUUUUGAAGUCCGCGAACCAGAAAUUCUGAAUAAAGAAUUAUGUUAACCCGAGUUGUUAGGCACCCCCAGAUUCUGUGGUUCUAGCACGGUCCCUUAAAUAUCAUAAUUGGCUUAUUAUCUGAUUUUAAUACAUGUUUUAGCCUAUAGUAUGAUUUUAAAUUAUUAAUCGCUUUUAAAUAAUUUUAGAAAGAUUCAACGUUAUCUAAAACACGUCUUUGAACCACGGCACAUUAAAUGCACCCGCAUUCCACGACAUAUUUUAUUUAACGUUGUUGAUAUUUGGAUUUGGGUCACAUGAAAUACACACUCGAGUUUAAGGAAAUUAAUUUAAAUAACGCACCUAAAUCAACUACAUAUUUUCAAAUUUACGAGGGCCAUGAAAAUUUCAACUAAAUGGCACGCCUCAAUUUCUAGGAUUAAGAUUAAUUAAAUGAGGACCAUGAGUUUAGGAAUAUUAUUUGGUAUGGCGUACCUCAAAUUAUUCCUAUAGAUUUAUAACGUAACUAAAGCAGACUACGAAGAUUCAAUUUUCAAUAGCAACAUUACUUAUGUACGAAAUGCCUAAUGCCUACUUACAUUAACCACUAAAUUCCAAAUAACUGAAGCUUCACAUGACUUUAGGAAAAAGCUAAAAUAAUACAUUGUAAGAAGGAAAUAGACAUGUACAAGGUGAUUCAAAGCAUGAAAAAAAAUUAAUUGCAACAGUUGGCUCAUUUUUGCUACUUGAAAAAAAAAAAUCUAAACCAAUAACUAUAACUAAUAAAAAGGCUUUCCUAUGAGUUGACUUAACAUGACUUAGAUUAGUUUAAAUAUUCAUUUUCCGUCUAUGUAUCUCCAACCUUGCCUCUAUUUUUUGUCCUUAUAAUAAAAAAAUUCCUAUUUUGAUAACAACUUACUCAAAUCAUUCCCUCAUUUUUUUUCUCCCAAAUUUUUUAUAUUCUUCUCUCUCUUUAAUAUUUUAUUAUUAUCUUUCAUUUCAUUUCAAUUUUAUUUUUUAAUUUCCAUUAAACAAAUUCCAUCUUUUAUUUUUAUUAAUUUGCAAUUUCAUAAUUAAAAUAAUUCCAUAAAUUUUUAAAUAAUAUAAUUUGUAAGCAAUUAUUAUAUAUUAAUUAAUAAUUCAAAUAAAAAUAAAAUCAUUAUGAUACAAAAUUAAUUAAAUACAUAUUACAUAAUGAUAAAAUUGGAACGGAGGAAGUAAUAUUUUGUAUUCACACCUUUCAAUAUUAACAACAUCUAAUUUUUUGUAUUUGCACCAUUCAUUUUUGUGAGAUAAUUACAUAUUUUUUGUACAAUUAACUUAUAAUAACAUUAACAUAUAAUUUUACAUAAAAAUAAUAAAUGCACGAAAAUUAGUUUAUCAAAAUUAUACACCAAUACAUAAACAUAAUUAGUAUAUAUAAAGAUAUUACAUAAACAUAAUUAGUAUAUAUAAAGAGUUAAAAUAAAAGAUUAAAUAAUUAAAAUAAUAAUAAAAUAUGGGUGAAUAGUAAUGGAGGAGAUGUAUAGUGUACCCCAUAUUUGAGGAAACACUAUUCAUCCCAAUUACUGUUACAAAUAUGGGGGAGGGUUAGAGCAAAAUGCCCCCAUUUUUUUUUCCAUUAUAGGAAAUGGGGCAAGGUUGAAGAUGCCCUAAGAUCACAUGACUUCAUUCUUUACUUGAUCAUCCGAAAACAAUUAAAGUCUCCAAAUGUUCAUCCAUAUACUAAAAUUAAAGAAGACAAAAAAAGGAGAAUAAAAGCAUAUAAAGCAGGUUGUCUAUAUCUACCAACACUUAUUUUCAACGUAUUAAACCGGAUUGAACAUAAGAUAAUACGACGCUAUAGAUAAGACUUACUUGGUCUCUAAAUCAAAUAUUUCACCAGGAGGGAUUGAAAUAGUAACAGUGGUCGAUAGACACGGUGCCUAAAUCACAAUGACACAUACACUUAUAAGCAAAAUCACCGCUGAAGUAUCACUAGGGUGGUCUGGUUGGAAAUUUUUGGCGUGAGGCUUUGGAGAAAAUGGAGGAAGGGGAAGGGAGCUCCUCUUUUGGGUGUGAGCUUUUCUGGAAAUGAAUAUAGAGAAGAAGAAGCGUUGGGGGAAUGCGUCGUUUCUUCAGGGUCCAAGUCUAGGAGCUCCUGAUUUUUCUA